Molecule: ribosomal RNA, 253 nt
Filed under: uncultured bacterium
Lineage: Bacteria
Description: partial 16S ribosomal RNA
Rfam family: Bacterial small subunit ribosomal RNA
Source: RNAcentral
UACGUAGGUGGCAAGCGUUGUCCGGAUUUAUUGGGCGUAAAGAGCGUGUAGGCGGCCAGAUAGGUCCGUUGUGAAAACUCGAGGCUCAACCUCGAGACGCCGAUGGAAACCAUCUGGCUAGAGUCCGGAAGAGGAGAGUGGAAUUCCCGGUGUAGCGGUGAAAUGCGCAGAUAUCGGGAAGAACACCCGUGGCUAAGGCGGCUCUCUAGUACGGUACUGACGCUGAGACGCGAAAGCGUGGGGAGCGAACAGG